AUGACGCACUCCUCCCUCUCUCAUCCUUUUAUUCCUCUGGCCUGUUCCUCUCUCCCUUCAGUUAAAUAAUUUUUCCUCUCUCUCUCUCUCUCACUCUCUGCGUCUCCUCUCCUUGACCUUGAAGUGGUUUCCUCCUCAUUCCUGCGGUCAGCAUUUUACUCUCCUGUGCUCCUUGGUGUCUUUUUGUGAGGAGGUUGAAGUGCAAAUCCCACAAUUCUUCACUCCAGGGUUGGGGGUUGCAGAGGCAGACUUCAUCAUGAUGGAACCGUCCUUCAGGAAUUACUUCCUCCUGCUCCAGAACCUGAGUCAGCAGCGGAUCACCUUUGCAGAGAGACAGGUGUUAAUGGACUCUGUUCAUUUCAGACCCACACACUCACACAAUCACACACACACUCACACAAACAAACACCCACUCACACCCACACACUGAGCACCACUCUACUAAGUGUACAGUAGAGGCUCUGAUCAAUCACAGUGACCACCUGGACACUCCUGCAGGACAAAGAGCAGCAGCACAUCCAUCAGAGAGAAGUGGAUCAGACUGAACCAUUAGAGAACGGAUCCUUUAUCAAACAGUUCACUCUCUGCUGUAGCACCAACAAGGACACCUGACCUGGACAUGUUUUCCCCUUAUAGGUCCACCCUUUUUUUGAACAUCCUCUUGUGUGGCAAACGUUAACCAGCAGCAGGACGAGGUGCUGCUUGUAGGGGGCACUGUCAUCGUCUGUCUCGAUCUCUAUGUCGGUGUUUCUGUGACUGAGGUGGCAGGGUUUACAUCAUGUGACCGGUGUGAUCUCUGUGCAGUAAUGAAACUGCUUCAUCCUCUUCUCUGCUCCCAGCAUGCUCGUCCCCUCUCAGUCAAGAUUCAAGGAUUCAAGUUUUUUUAUUGUCAUACUAAUACAAGCUGUUGCAUGAUAUGGAACGAAAUUUCAAUCCUCUGUGCGACCUUCACCACCCUCUGCAGAGUCUUCUUCUCUGCAGCAGAGCAGCUGCCAUGCCAUGCAGGAGCACAGGACGCUCUCCACCACACAUCUGUAGAAGGAGUUCAGAGCUGAGCUCCCAAGUCCUUUGUGCCUCAGCUUCCUAAGAAAGUAGAGGCGCUGGUGGGCCUUCUUUACCAGUCACUAAUAUUAUGAAUACGUCUGAUCACACGCAGCAUUGGAUAUCUUUUAAACAUUACACAGAGACUUUCAGGGCAAAGUCUGAACAUUGGUGCUUUUUGUUGUCAUUGUUAACAGAGGCAGAAAGUAACAGCAGCACCUGUAUCAGGUCCUCUCUCCUCCCAUUCCAUCCUUUAACUCUGUCUCACACUGUUGUGUUUGUGUUUGCUCUCUGUCUGUUUUCUUCACUUUGUUAGAUGUCUCUUUCUCUCAGCUCCUAGUGUGUUUUAUCAUCCCUCUCUAGUUUCUGUUUUCCUCUGCUCACAUGUUAACCACCAAUCAAAAGUUUGUUCUCUGCUGAUAAACUGAGAUUAAAAAUAUUCU
Molecule: long non-coding RNA, 1484 nt
Organism: Notolabrus celidotus (New Zealand spotty)
Lineage: Eukaryota; Metazoa; Chordata; Actinopteri; Labriformes; Labridae
Exons: 2
Source: RefSeq, a predicted model, not a curated record